Molecule: ribosomal RNA, 890 nt
Filed under: uncultured bacterium
Lineage: Bacteria
Description: bacterial SSU rRNA
Rfam family: Bacterial small subunit ribosomal RNA
Source: RNAcentral
AGAGUUUGAUCCUGGCUCAGAUUGAACGCUGGCGGAAUGCUUUACACAUGCAAGUCGAACGGUAGAGGGGGCAACCCCUUGAGAGUGGCGAACGGGUGAGUAAUAUAUCGGAACGUGCCCAGUCGUGGGGGAUAACGUAGCGAAAGUUACGCUAAUACCGCAUACGAUCUACGGAUGAAAGCGGGGGAUCGCAAGACCUCGCGCGACUGGAGCGGCCGAUAUCAGAUUAGGUAGUUGGUGGGGUAAAGGCUCACCAAGCCAACGAUCCGUAGCUGGUCUGAGAGGACGACCAGCCACACUGGAACUGAGACACGGUCCAGACUCCUACGGGAGGCAGCAGUGGGGAAUUUUGGACAAUGGACGCAAGUCUGAUCCAGCCAUUCCGCGUGCAGGAUGAAGGCCCUCGGGUUGUAAACUGCUUUUGUACGGAACGAAAAGGUCUCUCCUAAUACGAGAGGCUCAUGACGGUACCGUAAGAAUAAGCACCGGCUAACUACGUGCCAGCAGCCGCGGUAAUACGUAGGGUGCGAGCGUUAAUCGGAAUUACUGGGCGUAAAGCGUGCGCAGGCGGUUAUAUAAGACAGAUGUGAAAUCCCCGGGCUCAACCUGGGACCUGCAUUUGUGACUGUAUAGCUAGAGUACGGUAGAGGGGGAUGGAAUUCCGCGUGUAGCAGUGAAAUGCGUAGAUAUGCGGAGGAACACCGAUGGCGAAAGCAAUCCCCUGGACCUGUACUGACGCUCAUGCACGAAAGCGUGGGGAGCAAACAGGAUUAGAUACCCUGGUAGUCCACGCCCUAAACGAUGUCAACUGGUUGUUGGGUCUUCACUGACUCAGUAACGAAGCUAACGCGUGAAGUUGACCGCCUGGGGAGUACGGCCGCAAGGUUGAA